Molecule: ribosomal RNA, 492 nt
Filed under: uncultured bacterium
Lineage: Bacteria
Description: partial 16S ribosomal RNA
Rfam family: Bacterial small subunit ribosomal RNA
Source: RNAcentral
AGUGAACGCUGGCGGUAGGCCUAACACAUGCAAGUCGAACGGCAGCACAGUAAGAGCUUGCUCUUACGGGUGGCGAGUGGCGGACGGGUGAGGAAUACAUCGGAAUCUACUUUUUCGUGGGGGAUAACGUAGGGAAACUUACGCUAAUACCGCAUACGACCUACGGGUGAAAGCAGGGGAUCUUCGGACCUUGCGCGAUUGAAUGAGCCGAUGUCGGAUUAGCUAGUUGGCGGGGUAAAGGCCCACCAAGGCGACGAUCCGCAGCUGGUCUGAGAGGAUGAUCAGCGACACUGGAACUGAGACACGGUCCAGACUCCUACGGGAGGCCGCAGUGGGGAAUAUUGGACAGUGGGCGCAAGCCUGAUCCAGCCAUACCGCGUGGGUGAAGAAGGCCUUCGGGUUGUAAAGCCCUUUUGUUGGGAAAGAAAAGCAGCAGGUUAAUACCCCGCUGUUCUGACGGUACCCAAAGAAUAAGCACCGGCUAACUUCGUG